UACGUAGGUCCCGAGCGUUGUCCGGAUUUAUUGGGCGUAAAGCGAGCGCAGGUGGUUUAUUAAGUCUGGUGUAAAAGGCAGUGGCUCAACCAUUUAUGCAUUGGAAACUGGUAGACUUGAGUGCAGGAGAGGAGAGUGGAAUUCCAUGUGUAGCGGUGAAAUGCGUAGAUAUAUGGAGGAACACCGGUGGCGAAAGCGGCUCUCUGGCCUGUAACUGACACUGAGGCUCGAAAGCGUGGGGAGCAAACAGG
This 251-nucleotide ribosomal RNA is filed under the name uncultured bacterium. RNAcentral's name for it is "partial 16S ribosomal RNA". It matches the Rfam family "Bacterial small subunit ribosomal RNA", at positions 524 to 776 of the family's 1533-position model. The record is from RNAcentral.